CCGGAAAUAGCUCAGUUGGUAGAGCGGUGGACUGUAAGAAUUGCUGUCAUCCAUAGGUCGCUAGUUCGAAUCUGGCUUUCCGGA
This 84-nucleotide transfer RNA is filed under the name Piptocephalis cylindrospora. It matches the Rfam family "tRNA". Rfam says of the family: Transfer RNA (tRNA) molecules are approximately 80 nucleotides in length. The record is from Rfam by way of RNAcentral. Lineage: Eukaryota; Fungi; Zoopagomycota; Zoopagomycetes; Zoopagales; Piptocephalidaceae.